This 568-nucleotide ribosomal RNA is filed under the name uncultured bacterium. Its description in RNAcentral is "partial 16S ribosomal RNA". It matches the Rfam family "Bacterial small subunit ribosomal RNA", at positions 355 to 914 of the family's 1533-position model. The record is from RNAcentral.
UGGGGAAUUUUGGACAGUGGGCGAAAGCCUGAUCCAGCAAUGCCGCGUGUGUGAAGAAGGCCUUCGGGUUGUAAAGCACUUUUGUCCGGAAAGAAAUCCUUGGCUCUAAUACAGUCGGGGGAUGACGGUACCGGAAGAAUAAGCACCGGCUAACUACGUGCCAGCAGCCGCGGUAAUACGUAGGGUGCAAGCGUUAAUCGGAAUUACUGGGCGUAAAGCGUGCGCAGGCGGUUUGCUAAGACCGAUGUGAAAUCCCCGGGCUCAACCUGGGAACUGCAUUGGUGACUGGCAGGCUAGAGUAUGGCAGAGGGGGGUAGAAUUCCACGUGUAGCAGUGAAAUGCGUAGAGAUGUGGAGGAAUACCGAUGGCGAAGGCAGCCCCCUGGGCCAAUACUGACGCUCAUGCACGAAAGCGUGGGGAGCAAACAGGAUUAGAUACCCUGGUAGUCCACGCCCUAAAACGAUGUCAACUAGUUGUUGGGGAUUCAUUUCCUUAGUAACGUAGCUAACGCGUGAAGUUGACCGCCUGGGGGAGUACGGUCGCAAGAUUAAAACUCAAAUGAAUUGAC